Long non-coding RNA from Dreissena polymorpha, 718 nucleotides. RefSeq lists it as uncharacterized. Lineage: Eukaryota; Metazoa; Mollusca; Bivalvia; Myida; Dreissenidae. The record is from RefSeq and is a predicted model, not a curated record. The transcript has 2 exons.
UAUUGCUUUGCACAUGUCGGUCUGUAGGUCGGUCCGUCCACCAGGUGGUUUCCGGAUGAUAACUCAAGAACGCUUGGGGCUAGGAUCAUGAAACUUCAUAGGUACAUUGAUCAUGACUUGCAGAUGACCCCUAUUGAUUUUGAGGUCACUAGGUCAAAGGUCAAGGUCACGGUGACCCGAAAUAGUAAAAUGGUUUCCGGAUGAUAACUCAAGAAUGCAUACGCCUAGGAUCAUGAAACUUCAUGGGUAGAUUGAUCAUGACUCGCAGAUGACCCCUAUUGAUUUUGAGGUCACUAGGUCAAAGGUCAAGGUCACGGUGACCCGAAAUAGUAAAAUGGUUUUCGGAUGAUGACUCAAGAAUGCAUAUGCCUAGGAUGAUGAAACUUCAUAGGUACAUUGAUCGUGACUCGCACAUGACCCCUAUUGAUUUUCAGGUCACUAGGUCAAAGGUCAAGGUCACAGUGACAAAAAACGUAUUCACACAAUGGCUGCCACUACAACAGACAGACCAUAUGGGGGGCAUGCAUGUUUUACAAACAGCCCUUGUUAUGUAUUUGUACUAACUUGUAAAAUUUUAGUAUGGUACUUCUUCCUGUUUAUUCAAGCAUUUGUAUAUUCUUGAAAUUUCGAACGUUUUACAACUGAUGUCAAUGUAUAUAUAACUUUGUUGUGCAGGUUGUUAAGAGAGUAAUACAAUAAAGAAUAAGCUCUCCAGUGA